CACGUAGGGAGCAAGCGUUGUCCGGAUUUAUUGGGCGUAAAGAGCUCGUAGGUGGUUCGGUAAGUCAGGUGUGAAACCUCCAGGCUCAACCUGGAGACGCCACUUGAUACUGCUGUGACUGGAGUCCGGUAGGGGAGCGUGGAAUUUCCGGUGUAGCGGUGAAAUGCGUAGAUAUCGGAAGGAACACCAGUGGCGAAAGCGGCUUCCUGGUCCAGCACCGACGUUCAGGCACGAAAGCGUGGGGAGCAAACAGG
Molecule: ribosomal RNA, 254 nt
Filed under: uncultured bacterium
Lineage: Bacteria
Description: partial 16S ribosomal RNA
Rfam family: Bacterial small subunit ribosomal RNA
Source: RNAcentral